GAAAUGCGAUAAGUAAUGUGAAUUGCAGAAUUCAGUGAAUCAUCGAAUCUUUGAAUGCACAUUGCGCCCGCCAGUAUUCUGGCGGGCAUGCCUGUCCGAGCGUCAUUUCAACCAUCAAGCCCCCGGGCUUGUGUUGGGGACCUGCGGCUGCCCGCAGGCCCUGAAAACCAGUGGCGGGCUCGCUGUCACACCGAGCGUAGUAGCAAUCACCUCGCUCAGGGCGUGCUGCGGGUUCCGGCCGUUAAACAGCCUUACAAAACCCAAGGUUGACCUCGGAUCAGGUAGGAAGACCCGCUGAACUUAAGC
This 306-nucleotide unclassified non-coding RNA is filed under the name plant metagenome. RNAcentral's name for it is "partial contains 5.8S ribosomal RNA, internal transcribed spacer 2, and large subunit ribosomal RNA". The stretch from base 1 to 105 matches the Rfam family "5.8S ribosomal RNA", at positions 50 to 154 of the family's 154-position model. The record is from RNAcentral.